RNAcentral lists this transfer RNA (89 nucleotides) under Alectoria sarmentosa. RNAcentral describes it as "tRNA-Glu". It matches the Rfam family "tRNA". Rfam says of the family: Transfer RNA (tRNA) molecules are approximately 80 nucleotides in length. Their secondary structure includes four short double-helical elements and three loops (D, anti-codon, and T loops). The record is from RNAcentral. Lineage: Eukaryota; Fungi; Ascomycota; Lecanoromycetes; Lecanorales; Parmeliaceae.
UCCGGUAUGGUGUAGGGGUUAACAUCGUCCGCUUUCAACGUCGCAAUUGAUGGCCCGGACAGCCCCGGGUUCGAUUCCCGGUACCGGAA